RNAcentral lists this long non-coding RNA (209 nucleotides) under Elaeis guineensis (African oil palm). RNAcentral describes it as "long non-coding RNA (EGUI_LNC070886)". Lineage: Eukaryota; Viridiplantae; Streptophyta; Magnoliopsida; Arecales; Arecaceae. The record is from RNAcentral.
UUAGGUGAGGUCACAGGACUUAGAGAUCAAACCCACUGCAUCUUGUUUAGUGAAGCAAUGGACAAAGUGUUGUUCGCUCACAAGCCCACUACAUCCUUAGAACAAAUAUUUUUAUAAGUAUAAAAUCUAACUAGAAACUGUUCUCUCUGUAGAUAACCAUAUCGAGCUCAAACCCUUUAGUCCGAAUCCUUGAUACAAAUAGGUUGACC